GAACCUGAGAGUUUGAUCCUGGCUCAGAACGAACGCUGGCGGCAGGCCUAACACAUGCAAGUCGAACGCUCCGCAAGGGGAGUGGCGCACGGGUGAGUAACACGUGGGAACCUACCUUCUGGUACGGAAC
This 130-nucleotide ribosomal RNA is filed under the name Inquilinus limosus. Its description in RNAcentral is "partial 16S ribosomal RNA". It matches the Rfam family "Bacterial small subunit ribosomal RNA", at positions 1 to 144 of the family's 1533-position model. Lineage: Bacteria; Pseudomonadati; Pseudomonadota; Alphaproteobacteria; Rhodospirillales; Rhodospirillaceae. The record is from RNAcentral.